This is a small nuclear RNA of Molossus molossus (Pallas's mastiff bat), 107 nucleotides long. Lineage: Eukaryota; Metazoa; Chordata; Mammalia; Chiroptera; Molossidae. The record is from RefSeq and is a predicted model, not a curated record.
GUGCUUGCUUCGGCAGCACAUAUACUAAAAUUGGAAUGAUACUGAGAAGAUUAGCAUGGCCCUUGCACAAGGAAGACACUCAAAUUUAUGAAGCAUUCCUUUUUUAA